GUUUCUUGUUAGUGAUUUGGAGCAUUCUUUCAUAGGUUAUUAAUAGUUUGCAAUUCUUCUUUCGAGAACUGUUUGCAGAACAUAGACUUGUGAAGCCAGAUCGGGCCUUAGAAUGGAGAAUGUUAGAGUGGGAAGGGGCCUUAGAAUGAAAAGACCUCGGAAUCUAGAAUGUCUAACGUGAAAAAGAGCCUUGGAAUAAGGCACCUGGGAAACUCUUUGGACAAAUCUGCAGGGUGACACCAUUAACCCCAAAGAAGUGAUCCAACUUCCUACAGAAGAUGGAAUUUUACCUGGGCCCGGAAGGAAGCCAGGGAAGCCAGGAGGCAGAGAUGUCUUGAACAGAAUGUCCCAUAAGGCAUCUCAGGCUCAAUAUGUCCACAACAGAACUCAUCAUCUUUCCCCUUAAACCCUCCCUUUCUUCCCAAUUUUCCCAUUACUCUUGAGAGUCCCAACAUUCUCCCGACACUCAGGAUAAUAAACUAGGUGUCAUCCUCCGCUCUUCCUCUCCU
Molecule: long non-coding RNA, 509 nt
Filed under: Monodelphis domestica (gray short-tailed opossum)
Lineage: Eukaryota; Metazoa; Chordata; Mammalia; Didelphimorphia; Didelphidae
Description: lncRNA (ENSMODG00000044235.1)
Source: RNAcentral